GAUGAACGCUGGCGGCGUGCCUAAUACAUGCAAGUCGAGCGAACAGACGAGGAGCUUGUGCCUCUGACGUUAGCGGCGGACGGGAGAGUAACACGUGGAUAACCUACCUAUAAGUCUGGGAUAACUUCGGGAAACCGGCGCUUAUACCGGAUAAUCUCUUGAUCCGCAUGGGGCGAUGGUGAAAGACGGCGUUGCGGUCACUUCUAGCUGGAUCUGCGCCGCAUUAGCUAGUUGGUAGGGUAACGGCUUAGCAAGGCAACUAUGCGUAUCCGACGUGUGGGAGUGGUAGCCCGCAUGGGAGGGUGGACAGGGACCUGGGUCCUAAGGGAGGCAGCAGACGGGUAUCGGCGGCAGUGGGGGGGAGUCUGACGGAGCGGCGGCGCGUGUGUGGUGGAGGUCUUGGGAUCGUAAAGCCCGGUUUUGGGGGAUGAACAAAUGUGUAAGUAGCUAUGCACGUAUUGACGGUACCGGGUCAGAAAGCCACGGCUAACUACGUG
Molecule: ribosomal RNA, 497 nt
Filed under: uncultured bacterium
Lineage: Bacteria
Description: partial 16S ribosomal RNA
Rfam family: Bacterial small subunit ribosomal RNA
Source: RNAcentral